This 253-nucleotide ribosomal RNA is filed under the name uncultured bacterium. RNAcentral's name for it is "partial 16S ribosomal RNA". It matches the Rfam family "Bacterial small subunit ribosomal RNA", at positions 524 to 776 of the family's 1533-position model. The record is from RNAcentral.
UACGUAGGGUGCAAGCGUUAAUCGGAAUUACUGGGCGUAAAGCGCGUGUAGGCGGUUAUCCAAGUCGGGUGUGAAAGCCUUGAGCUCAACUCAAGAAAUGCAUUCGGUACUGGGUGACUAGAGGACCGGAGAGGAUAGUGGAAUUCCCAGUGUAGUGGUGAGAUACGUAGAGAUUGGGAAGAACACCAGUGGCGAAGGCGGCUAUCUGGACGGUUUCUGACGCUAAGACGCGAAAGCGUGGGGAGCAAACAGG